Molecule: ribosomal RNA, 492 nt
Filed under: uncultured bacterium
Lineage: Bacteria
Description: partial 16S ribosomal RNA
Rfam family: Bacterial small subunit ribosomal RNA
Source: RNAcentral
AGUGAGCGCUGGCGGUAGGCCUAACACAUGCAAGUCGAACGGCAGCACAGUAAGAGCUUGCUCUUACGGGUGGCGAGUGGCGGACGGGUGAGGAAUACAUCGGAAUCUACUUUUUCGUGGGGGAUAACGUAGGGAAACUUACGCUAAUACCGCAUACGACCUACGGGUGAAAGCAGGGGAUCUUCGGACCUUGCGCGAUUGAAUGAGCCGAUGUCGGAUUAGCUAGUUGGCGGGGUAAAGGCCCACCAAGGCGACGAUCCGUAGCUGGUCUGAGAGGAUGAUUAGCCACACUGGAACUGAGACACGGUCCAGACUCCUACGGGAGGCAGCAGUGGGGAAUAUUGGACAAUGGGCGCAAGCCUGAUCCAGCCAUACCGCGUGGGUGAAGAAGGCCUUCGGGUUGUAAAGCCCUUUUGUUGGGAAAGAAAAGCAGCAGGUUAAUACCCCGCUGUUCUGACGGUACCCAAAGAAUAAGCACCGGCUAACUUCGUG